CAGGAUACGUAGUGAGACACCUAUCUCAGUUUUCCUUUUUUUUAAUUUAAAUUUGUGCGUGUGGUGUAUACAGGCACACACAUGUGAGUAUACAUGUCCACGUGUGCCUAGCGACCAGAGGAGAACAUUAGGUGUUUCCUUCUGUCCUUCUCUGCCACAAGGCGCUGAACCUGGGGCUUGUGUUUCUGUUAGGCUGGUAGCAGCAAGCUCUCCCGACCCUGCUCUCUCUGCCCCACGGGGUCUUGCAGCCGCACCUGGCUCUUCAUGUGGCUGGAGAAGUAGCACAAGAGCUCAUGUUUGCAGCAUAAACGCCUAUCUGAGCCAUCUCCUCAGUUCCUGAUUUUUCUUGCUCCUUCCAAAAAAAGUGUUUUAAACAAUGUACAAAGGUCACUUUAAACAAUGCACUUCUGUUUUCCUGAUUUCCGAGCUUCGUAGAUGAAUGGUGUGUCAUACUGUAAGUCUGCUUGUAUGAAUUGCUUUUAUUCCCUUAGUGACGGGCUUUUAAAGGUCAAGUGUAUUAUACCAUGUUCCUAUAGUGUAGCCGUUUUCAAGGUUACAUAGUAUUCCAUCAAAUGGCUGGAAUACUAUUUAGCCACUCUCUUUUAUAUGGAAGCU
RNAcentral lists this long non-coding RNA (615 nucleotides) under Rattus norvegicus (Norway rat). RNAcentral's name for it is "long non-coding RNA NONRATT010418". Lineage: Eukaryota; Metazoa; Chordata; Mammalia; Rodentia; Muridae. The record is from RNAcentral.